RNAcentral lists this long non-coding RNA (2501 nucleotides) under Equus asinus (donkey). Its description in RNAcentral is "lncRNA (ENSEASG00005033282.1)". Lineage: Eukaryota; Metazoa; Chordata; Mammalia; Perissodactyla; Equidae. The record is from RNAcentral.
AUUAUGCAGGGCUAGCCAAAGGAGCCUAAACCAUGUAGGACAAAAUUGCAAAGAUAUAGACAUUAUUAUUUUUAACUUUUGUUUUAGUUUGUCAUCUAUAUCUGGGCUUUUUAUGCUCAGGAAAAACGUGGAACUCACUAUGAAAUGCAGAAUCUCUGCAAAUCAGUCCCGAGAGCCCCCACGAUCCUUCACUGAAGUCAAGGAAUCGAACACUCAGCUCGUAGAGCGGAUUGCUCAUUCCUCGCAGCUGAUAUCACAUGGGGGCCUACACUGGUCUGGAGUAAAGAGAAAUAAAUCGGAAACUUGCGAUAACUCUAGAACCAUGGUCCUUAAAGUACGGCUCCCCAACCAGCACCAUCAGUUUCACCUGGGAACUUGUUAGAAAUGCAGUUUCUCAGAACCCAGCCCAGACCUGCUCUGUCAGAAGCUCUAGGGGUGCCUCGUAUUCUCCAUUUAGCAAGUUCUCCAGUUGAUUCUGCUGCAGGCUGAACUUUGAGAACCACUGCUCUGGAUAAGAUUGAAGGCAAUUCCCGAAAGCUGAAGAGAGAUCACCAUAGACAUGUGGCAUCAUCUGUAUAUCCUCUAGUAGAAAGCAGGAGCCGCACUCCCCAGGUCUAGAACCGGAAGUGCGCCUCAUUAUGAAAUGAAAUGAUUAUUUUUGUGCUGAAGGAAAUACCUGUAGGACUCAAAGUUACUUUGGAGACAUAUAGAAAAUAAGAUUUAUGCGUGAGCGUUCAGAAGAAAUGAAAGCAUUUACACGGGCCGUCUUCCAGCCAGUCUGGUGUAGUUCUUUGGGAAGAAGAGCAAUUAAAAACUUGACACACUAUCAAAAAAUGAUGCAAUGGAAAUUAAAUUGCAUGGAUUUUGUGAGUAGAUUUAGGGAAAUGGAAUGCGUUUGAUGUCGGGCCUCCCAAUCCUUGACCACAUCCCACUUGUCACAUAGGAAGAAAUGGAUUUCCAUGAUAUUUAGAAAAAAGGAGAAUUCCAGAUAUACAGAUAUACACCAAAUAAAAUGAAUGUUAGCCCUCAGGAAUGGUGAUUGCAAAGACUGAAGAUCCUGGAUUCAGGUCACACUACAGAGGGAUUUUGAACUUUUUCCUCAAGCCAGAUUGUAUGGUUUAACAGUUUUUCUGUUAGAAGAACGGAGCAGAUGAUGUGAAAUUUCAGUCAAAGGCAGCAAAAAUGAAAGCAAGGCAAAGGUAACAUUGGAAAUGAAAAGUGCAUCAAUAAAAAGAUGGAGAGCUGAAACUCCUGCGGGAAACGGAAACGCUUAUUUUUAAGAUUAUGUCGCCACCUAGUAAAUCAGCAUAGAAAUACACCCGCAGCAAGUGCAGCCUGUGCUGAGCUCCGUCCUCUGGCUAGCAAUUCCCACUGGCACCUUUCUCUCUAAACAUCUGCACACACAAGACGAGCCUGCGACCUGCACCAGCCUCUCGAGUUCUCAGUCACAGCCCAGCUCACAGCCAGCUCUUCCUCCAGGGUUACGGAACGGAGAAGUCAACAGCACACGUUUGAGACCUGAAAACGUGUCGAGAUUUUCUCUCCAUCUCUGUUACCUACCUUUGGAAAUGAUUAGUUCAAACCGCACAGAUUAUUGUUUGCCUGUUCUAAAUAAUGUAACUCUGGGCUGUUCGUUAGUGAAAUAUUUUUCAUUUUCUACUUUUGUUUCUGUCUCAUAAAAGAAGUGGGCCGGUCAUGGUCUUUCUCUGUGGGGAAGCACAGGAAUCGUGGAAUUAAAAACACUACACAGAGAAGCCCACUUUUUUCAGUUAAAGCCGUGCCUUUAGUUUUGCUGUUAUUUUAAGCAGUCUCAUUUCAUCUGCAGUAGUGUUUGCACUGAAUAGUUGAUCACCCACCCUGGUUUUUUUUUUUUUUUUUUUUUUUGCUUGAGGAAGAUUAGCCCUGAGCUAACAUCUGCACCAAUCUUCCUUUACUUUAUAUGCAGGUUGCCGCCACAGCACGGCUAACAAAUGGUGUAGGUCCAUCCCCAGCAUCAAAACCCAGGCUGCGGAAGUGGAUUGCACUGAACUUAAUCACUAGGCCCUGGGGCCAGCCCCCUGGUUUUGUUUUUUAUGAAGAGAGAGUUAGUUUGAUAAAAUAUCACACAGAGUUUUAUUGGUUUGGUGUCUACAGAUGAUUGGUCCCCAGGGGUGGGAUUCUGGCCAUACCCUUUGCUACUCCUAAUUUUUUCAUCUGUGAGAUGGGGAUAACAAUAGUAUAUACAGCACUUGACUUUUAGGAGGAAUAAAUUAAAGUGCUCAGAAAUUUUAGCUAUCGUUAUCAAUAACAAAAAUACACUGAUUGAAAUGGUUGAAAAAAAUUCCAUGUUGCCACUCACAAUAGAUUGAAAUGCUUUAGCCAAGCAAAUAGAUACAGAGAAAGGAGGCAUAUAUUCAGAGACCAGGAAACCAUCCAUUUUUAAAAAUUCAAGUGAUAAAAUUUUUUAAAAUGAUUAGAUUUUAAUAAUUAUAAAAUUGAUUAAAUUCAAAUGCUUUAAAAAC